UUAUAUUUUAAUUCGAAUGAAUCUAUGUAAAUAAAUAGUCUAAACUUUUUAUAUAGUCUUCUUUAGAAAUGGAUGUUAAUACGAAGUUAUUAUAAGUUAGUAACUGUAAUGUUAACACCACUUAAACUCAACCAAUACAUGUACUCAUUAUUUGAACAUAAAUCAAUCUCAAACAUUAGUUGCGGUUAAGUAUAUAAGGAAGUCGAUUUUGUUUUCUAAAUUGAAAAAUGAAGUUGAUUGCACCUCUUCUGUUAUUGUCAAUAUUCCUUAUAUCGGAAACAUUAUCCCGGGAUGUGUUUGACACCUCACUGGAUGAUGAUACAAAUGUUUACAAUAACGUGAACAUAUUGAACGCUUUGCGUCAAAAAAAACGGCUGUUUGAGAAAUUGUUUAAAAGACCGAAGACAAAGCCAAAAGAACAGGAUGUAGAUACAUUUAAUUGGACAAUCAUAAGAGCGAUACUGCCGAAGUUAAAGAACUUGCCGUGGGACUGGAUUCUGAAUAUGAUAAGACGGGCGAUCAGUAAUCGUGACAGUGAAUAUUGAUGGAAAUAUAAUAUUUGAAGUUA
Pieris brassicae (large cabbage white) is the source of this 568-nucleotide long non-coding RNA. RefSeq lists it as uncharacterized. The record is from RefSeq and is a predicted model, not a curated record. Lineage: Eukaryota; Metazoa; Arthropoda; Insecta; Lepidoptera; Pieridae. The transcript is spliced from 2 exons.